UAUGUGCUUAAAGGGCCUGAAUAGAAAAUGUAUUGGGCCUUGCAUCUCUAAACCUAAAGUUGUCUCUCUUUUGGUCUCGAAGUCAAGGUUCUCACCGUCGUCCUAUCAUGGUCAUGCUACCGCCAUGGAUUAACAGUCGUGUUCUGUUAGUCGAUUGAGUACCGGCGUACCCUAAUUGAACGCAAACCGGUAUCUUAUUGAAUUCUCACUACUGCCGUCAGAAAAAUUUGGAUAUGUUACAGCAAGUCGGUUGAAUUCACGCCAUCAUUAACAACAACUUUCCACUUUUCAACACGAUCUUUCAUUGAAUGCAUCCCCAUUACUUCUAUUGCGUGAAUCUUCAAGUAUAAAUAGGUAACUCUUUCAUCAGUUCAAUCCAAUCCUCUCAGAAGCAUGCUAUCUAGAUCCGCUCUAUAUCCACAAAGAAGCCACACAGCUUACUUCGUAGUCACCAACUCCCACCUACUCAGCCUCCCACAGUUUGAUUUCUCUUCAGCUCUGCGGUUAAAUUUAGCAAAUGUCAUAUGACAAGCGGAUAGCACGGUUUCUCAGCUUAAAGCUAUUUCAGAGCAACUUGCUUCAGCCAAGCAUUUGGGGGUUGUUCAGGUGUCUCUACCUGCAAAUGUCCAAACUGAAAUCGAGCAGAUUGGAGAGAUACUGAAUUCUUCUAUAGCUGCCAUCACUAAUAGCUCCAAUGACAUAAGAGACGAUCUCAAUUCCGUAAGGGUGGCGCUUAUCACAGUUUCAAUCCUUAUGCUUACCUCUUUACAAUUCUUGGUCUCGUUUCUUCAAUUUUUGGGAUACAUCUCAUUGUCUACACGAACAAUGACCCUGGAAUGUUCUUUGUGUACUUUUUAUAAGUAAGAACUAUUUGAAUCUUUUCCUCUUCCGCAGCCGUAUGAUUCUUGGAUGGAGUUUGGUGACUGAUGAUUCUGGUGCAUUCAUCUUGAGCGGAGCAUUCCUUCUGUUACAAAAAUAUGUCUCAUGAUUCUUCAUAAACUUCUUCUUUAUCGUUCAAAAAUUUUAAUGUGUUUGUUUGAGCAUUAGUGAAACUGCAGGCAGAUGUAUAGCAAUGAGUGCAUCAGUAGAAAGGCCCGUAAGCAACACUCCUCUAGACGAGAUCUUGCCUUGCACAGACAAUGUUAUAGCUGAGAAAAUAACUGAAGUGCUUAUAAAUUUGGAAACAUGACCAUGCAUCCUCUGCACACGUGACCUGCAAGCCUUUUAAAAUAUGUUAACAGAUCACUUCUUCUCUAAUUCAAACUGUGCUUACAAAAAAAUUCAACAGUAUUAUAUACAGUAAAUCAGUUUAGUGGGAUACAAAAAAAAUUCCACCAGUUUCAGAUUUUCUAUUUUGAAAUAAUUUUAGUUAAAAUGAAUAAGUUAUUUCUUUUGCA
Molecule: long non-coding RNA, 1397 nt
Organism: Brassica rapa (field mustard)
Lineage: Eukaryota; Viridiplantae; Streptophyta; Magnoliopsida; Brassicales; Brassicaceae
Source: RefSeq, a predicted model, not a curated record